This 555-nucleotide ribosomal RNA is filed under the name uncultured eukaryote. RNAcentral's name for it is "SSU rRNA". It matches the Rfam family "Eukaryotic small subunit ribosomal RNA", at positions 591 to 1151 of the family's 1831-position model. The record is from RNAcentral.
CUCAUAGCGUAUAUUAAGUUGUUGCAGUUAAAACGCUCGUAGUCGGAUUUCGGGGCGGGCUGCUCGGUCUGCCGAUGGGUAUGCACUGGGUGGCGCGUCCUUCCUUCCGGAGACCGCGCCUUCUCUUAACUGAGCGGGCGCGGGAGACGGAACGUUUACUUUGAAAAAAUCAGAGUGUUUCAAGCAGGCAUCUCGCUCUUGCAUGGAUUAGCAUGGGAUAAUGAAAUAGGACUUUGGUGCUAUUUUGUUGGUUUCGAACACCGAAGUAAUGAUUAACAGGGACAGUCAGGGGCACUCGUAUUCCGUCGAGAGAGGUGAAAUUCUCAGACCAACGGAAGACGAACCACUGCGAAAGCAUUUGCCAGGGAUGUUUUCACUGAUCAAGAACGAAAGUUAGGGGAUCGAAGACGAUCAGAUACCGUCGUAGUCUUAACCAUAAACCAUGCCGACUAGGGAUUCGAGGGUGUUCCAUCUGUGACCCCUUGAGCACCUUUCGGGAAACUAAAGUCUUUGGGUUCCGGGGGGAGUAUGGUCGCAAGGCUGAAACUUAAAGGA